Molecule: ribosomal RNA, 116 nt
Filed under: Rhinopithecus roxellana (golden snub-nosed monkey)
Lineage: Eukaryota; Metazoa; Chordata; Mammalia; Primates; Cercopithecidae
Source: RNAcentral
GUCUAUAGCCACAGCCCUGUGAAUGUACCCAAUCUCUAGUCUCAGAAGCAAAGCAGGGUCCAGCCUGGUUAGUACUUGGAUGGAAGACCACCUGAGAAUACUGGAUGCAAAGGGAG